UUCGAUGUCGAUUUGGAGGUUGUGCCCUUGAGGCGUGGCUUCCGGAGCUAACGCGUUAAAUCGACCGCCUGGGGAGUACGGCCGCAAGGUUAAAACUCAAAUGAAUUGACGGGGGCCCGCACAAGCGGUGGAGCAUGUGGUUUAAUUCGAUGCAACGCGAAGAACCUUACCUGGUCUUGACAUCCACAGAACUUUCCAGAGAUGGAUUGGUGCCUUCGGGAACUGUGAGACAGGUGCUGCAUGGCUGUCGUCAGCUCGUGUUGUGAAAUGUUGGGUUAAGUCCCGCAACGAGCGCAACCCUUAUCCUUUGUUGCCAGCGGUCCGGCCGGGAACUCAAAGGAGACUGCCAGUGAUAAACUGGAGGAAGGUGGGGAUGACGUCAAGUCAUCAUGGCCCUUACGACCAGGGCUACACACGUGCUACAAUGGCGCAUACAAAGAGAAGCGACCUCGCGAGAGCAAGCGGACCUCAUAAAGUGCGUCGUAGUCCGGAUUGGAGUCUGCAACUCG
Molecule: ribosomal RNA, 509 nt
Filed under: Enterobacter cloacae
Lineage: Bacteria; Pseudomonadati; Pseudomonadota; Gammaproteobacteria; Enterobacterales; Enterobacteriaceae
Description: bacterial SSU rRNA
Rfam family: Bacterial small subunit ribosomal RNA
Source: RNAcentral